GACGAACGCUGGCGGCGUGCUUAACACAUGCAAGUCGAACGGAAAGGCCCUGCUUUUGUGGGGUGCUCGAGUGGCGAACGGGUGAGUAACACGUGAGUAACCUGCCCUCGACUUUGGGAUAACUUCAGGAAACUGGGGCUAAUACCGGAUAGGAGCUCCUGCUGCAUGGUGGGGGUUGGAAAGUUUCGGCGGUUGGGGAUGGACUCGCGGCUUAUCAGCUUGUUGGUGGGGUAGUGGCUUAUCAAGGCUUUGCCGGGUAUCCGGCCUGAGAGGGUGACCGGCCACAAUGGGACUGAGAUAGGGCCCAGUAGCCUACGGGAGGCAGCAGUGGGGAGUAUUGCACAACGGGCGGAAGCCAGAUGCAGCAACGCCGCGUGCGGGAUGACGGGCUUCGGGUUGUAAACCGCUUUCGCCGGUGACGAAGCGGGAGUGACGGUAAUGGGUAAAGAAGCACCGGCUAACUACGUG
This 468-nucleotide ribosomal RNA is filed under the name uncultured bacterium. RNAcentral's name for it is "partial 16S ribosomal RNA". It matches the Rfam family "Bacterial small subunit ribosomal RNA", at positions 28 to 507 of the family's 1533-position model. The record is from RNAcentral.